This 49-nucleotide ribosomal RNA is filed under the name Opuntia megacantha. Its description in RNAcentral is "partial 26S ribosomal RNA". Lineage: Eukaryota; Viridiplantae; Streptophyta; Magnoliopsida; Caryophyllales; Cactaceae. The record is from RNAcentral.
CGACCCCAGGUCAGGCGAGGCUACCCGCUGAGUUUAAGCAUAUCAAUAA